CAUUGUUUCUGAAGAUGGUCUGCGUAAAAAGAUAGCCAGAGAUUUCAUGCCAUUGACUCACAGAAAGCCUAUUACUGUUCUCUCUGUGGAGUCCAUCAUCCCUAACGGAAGAUCCCUGAUAUUUUGGAUACACCUCCAAGGGCCUUGUAUUAGGCAUUGUGAAGGAAAGAAAUGCACGGAAAAUCUCAUAGAGGCUGAUAAAUCAAGGAUAAUGCCUAAGGUUCCGUUUGUCAAAUGUGUGUGA
This 244-nucleotide long non-coding RNA is filed under the name Callithrix jacchus (white-tufted-ear marmoset). Its description in RNAcentral is "lncRNA (ENSCJAG00000072364.1)". Lineage: Eukaryota; Metazoa; Chordata; Mammalia; Primates; Cebidae. The record is from RNAcentral.